RNAcentral lists this non-coding RNA (29 nucleotides) under Rattus norvegicus (Norway rat). The record is from RNAcentral. Lineage: Eukaryota; Metazoa; Chordata; Mammalia; Rodentia; Muridae.
UGACAUAAUUGCAUUUUCCUUUGCAGCCA